GGCGCGACAGGCGAGAGAGAAGGAGACGGAGAGAGCUCCAUCUCGCCAUGGCUCCUUGCUCCCUUUCUUCCUAUUCUUAUAGAAGGAUUUAACUCCAAUGGGUUCUUCUUCGCGUUACCUUGUUGGCUUCUGAUCAGAGAUCAUCAUCGAGGAUUUCCACCGUCGAUAGAUGCAUGCGAGGUCGCAUAGCAUUGUUUAGGCAUUGCAGCACAUCCAGGAGAACACAGAUGAGGUUGGCCCUGCAGGAUGGAGGCCUCGAGAGAAGUCCAUGAAGCCAGACCCUCGACAAGGAGUGCCUGGCAGGGGAACAGUAUAAUUGCAACUACAGCAAAAGGCAUUCCAUUGUCUGAAAUAGUUAGGAGUUUUGUCACUCUUAGUGCAUUUACCCAACAUUCUCUUAUUGUAAUAUAAUGUUUUGCCAUUAUUGAGCUUCAGACAUCUAGUACUUGACCCAAUGCUUAAACUGUAUGCAAUGAAGCAGAAGCACUCUGGACUCAUAAACCACAUGUUGUCAGAUUUUGGGCAUGAGUUCAUUAUGAGAUAAAGCAGAUCUCCACUUUGCAGCUUUUGUGCAAGCAAGAAGCACUCUGGACUCAGAAGCCACAUGUCAGAUUUUCAGCAUGAGUACAUUGUGAGACAAAGCAGAUCUCCACUUUGCAGCUUUCGUGCAAGCAAGGUUUUCUUAUGUGAACAGGGGACUGAUUGGGCAGCACACCACGGGUUCAAUCAAAGCUUUGCAGUUUUGCAAACAAAGCUUGGGGUUUGUUAAAUUCAUGUGUGAAAUUUUCCAAAAAAUACAUUCAUUGAUGCAGACUGUCACAUUCAUGAACGUAGAAGUUUCAAGCUUUAAAAGAGUUUUCACGUUUUCUUUCUCUGUUCAACCUAGUGAUGGACCACCUUUUCCCAAUUCCGAGGGCUUAUUUAGGCUUCUAAUAGCAGUCACGAUGUUGGAGUUAUACUCAACAGAGGCUUAUGGUCUUAUUUGUUGGAUUUCGACUGUAAGUACAGAGAGUAAUUGAGCAAGCAAACCUCUAGAGAGAAUUUACUUUGCAUUUUAUGAUCUCGAUUUAUAGCCUAGGCCCUGAUAAGAUUCUCAUGUCCAAGGCACCAUGUCCAUGUCCAUGGAUGGCCAGUAAUGUUGUGAUAGACAGCAGAUAAUUUCACUUGACGGGCAUUUGCUAAGUGAUCAAGGCUACAUUUGAUUUUAAAAUGUAAUUGAUACAGUGAAUAAAGAGUCGCAAGUUUCAUUUGAAUCAGAUCUCAAGUAUAUGAAUUUUGUCUUUUUUGACAUGGCCGAUGUGAAUUGGAGUUGAGGAUACAACUGCAAUGUUUGCAACAAUAAGAUUGUGUACAUUAACUCUUUCAAAAUCUUAUACUGGUAGAAGCCUCAUACAUUAAUUUGAUUGUAUUUUGUUCUCUUCAAAUGCCACUAAAGCACCUCUCCAUGAAAACAACCUUACUGAAGGAAUCCUACAGACAUCCACAUUUAAUGAAAUAAGCCUUUUAGGAUAAGAGAGGGCUGCAGGAUUGUGAUACAUUUAGGAAAACUGGUUGUAUCUUUGACACAAGGACCAUUGGUUGAUUGAUAUUGUUUGGUAUAUUAACUACUUAUCUUUCUACAUAGGUUGUCUGGAACUGUGUUUCUUGCCACCUGAAUUGCUUUGGCACACAAGAUCCGAGGCUAUCAAUGAUGCUAAUGGAAGGUCACAUCAAAAAAAUGAGGCAGAAAUUUGCAAAGACAAUGCCUUGUAAUGCUUUUUGAUGUUACUUUGCUAAUAGUGAUUUACUCAAAAGCAAAGAUGGUAAAGAGGUACUCCUCUUGAUUUCUUUUCAACCAUCAAGUGCAUUGAGUGGUGUGCAAGCUUUCAAACAGUGUUUCCUUAGAAAUGGAGAAAGGAGGCAGAACUAAGGACUUUACUGCAUUCAUACAGAUAAUUUUUUUCCUUCAGGCACGCCUUUAAUGGCAUUGCUGGUUGCUUUUACCUUACUAAUUAUUAGAUAAUGUCCUUUUGAUGUCUUUUGGGCCAUAGCAUACUAAAGCUUUUGACUGUGACUGUGACUGUAAGACUGACUUGAAAAGGAGAGCAUGAGACAGAUGCAGCAGAUAAUCUUUCAGCAUUUAGGAGAGAGAGACAGAGAGAAACAUUGUAUCUAACUCGCUGUUCCAUG
Molecule: non-coding RNA, 2169 nt
Organism: Musa acuminata subsp. malaccensis (wild Malaysian banana)
Lineage: Eukaryota; Viridiplantae; Streptophyta; Magnoliopsida; Zingiberales; Musaceae
Source: RefSeq, a predicted model, not a curated record